Molecule: long non-coding RNA, 207 nt
Organism: Cygnus olor (mute swan)
Lineage: Eukaryota; Metazoa; Chordata; Aves; Anseriformes; Anatidae
Exons: 3
Source: RefSeq, a predicted model, not a curated record
GAAAUCUGAAGUAUAUUUUGAAGUUGAGUAUUAGAAGAUAUUCUUGGUACCAAAGAGAUCACUCUGAAAAGCAACAAGGACUCAGUGAAGAAAAUGACAUACCUUAUCAAAGAAAAUAUUAGAUGAGUGCAGCAUGAUGGACUUGGUGAAUCUAAAAUAUAUCCAGUGAAGAAAACUAUGAAGGGGUUUGCUAGCAAAGUAACACAA